Non-coding RNA from Camelina sativa (false flax), 1366 nucleotides. The record is from RefSeq and is a predicted model, not a curated record. NCBI's taxonomy places the organism in Eukaryota, Viridiplantae, Streptophyta, Magnoliopsida, Brassicales, Brassicaceae.
CUUCGUCUUGCAGGUGUUUUGGAUGCGGAUUAUGAUAUGAUCACUGCAUCUUCUCCAGGCUAAGUUUGUUUGCGGAGACUGGAGAAGGAUCCUAAAAUUGACCAGUGAUGGCUUUUACUGAUCGUUGUUACAUUCAUGUUAUUCAAGUAUACGUUCCUUGUUUCCCUCCAAAGUAUGUUGUAAUCAGGUUGGAAGUAGAUCUUCCUAGUGAUGUUGGGAUUCAUGUUUUUAGCUCAAGUCCCUGUCUUUUGUUAUAGAAACUCGAGGUUAGGUGUUGGUAUCUUAGGUCUGCUAAACCUGAAUAUUUUUAAGUUGUUCUUUUUGGUGCUAAAUCUGCUAAUGCCAUUUGUUUUGUUUUGAUGAAGUCUCUUAGGUGGUACGCUUAUGUCUAAGCUCCUAUGAUACACAAGGAUGGACAUGUGGAUGUGGUUUAUUCAGGUUUUUGUUCUCUUUCCCGUUGGUAUUUUUUCUCUGUUUCUGUAUCUCACUCUCAUGCUCCAAGAAGUUGGAUAGACAACUGUUUGCGUUAAAAUAGCUUAAGCAGCAGGUAUGAUUUUUGAUGGGAUAAUUUGUUACUACUCUUUGUCAAUUUACAACUGACGUUUAUGCUGAUAUCUAUAGGAUAAUUCUUGCAUGCUUAUUUCUGGAGAUCUAGUCUAACAGAGCAGACAAAGGCAAAAAAACUGUGUUGUCUUCUCACUCAGAGAAGAAGAUAGCCAACUGUUUUGAAACUUUUGUUGGGUUAGGAUUCACCAGGGAUGAGUUUGUGAUUAUUGAUGGUCAAACGCCAGCCUUCGUGUCUUAACUUAUCUGUAGAAACUGUAAAGAAGAAGAUAGAGUUUCUGGUGAAGGAGAUGAAUUGCCCUGUAGAGGCCUUGGUUUUGAUCCCUCAGGUACUUGGAUACAACAACCUAGAGAAGAGGAUUGUACCAAGGUGUAACUUAAUCAAAGCUCUCAUGUCCAAACGAUUUCUCGGUGGAGACAAAGGAAGCGAACUGCCGCCAAUGCAUUCUGUUUUGAAGAGUACCAAUCAUGAUUUUUUAAAUAGGUAUGUGAUGAAGUACGAUGACAAAGAUAUUGUGGCUGAGUUAAUGGCUAUGUUCACUGAAGCAAAAGAAGAGCUUUCAAUCUACAAAUCUCUGAAACCCAAUUUAUAGUUUUGCAGUCUCAGUUUGGCCUGAAUCUGAUCUGUCUUGGGAAAAAAGGAAUUAGUAAUUUUUGUAUGUCUCGCCUUCACUUUCUUCUUUCUCUCGCCUCUCACUAUGGCACUGGCCCUAAUGCCAAACCCUUUAGAGAUAAAUGAAGAUUUUGAGUCCACUGAACGGAACAGGAGAUGUAAACAUAGCCAUUCUUGGAGAUGUAAACA